UUUAGUGUAAGCGAAUGUUAAAACUUCAUCUAAAGAAUCUUAGUUCAUGAUAACUGCGCCAUUCUUAUGAAUUGGGAACACUUAUAGUGGAAUUUUAGAUGUCCUUGGCAGCCUGGUUAUUAUUUGGAUACAAUCUGAAAGCCUCUAAGAGUUAUGGUUUUAAUUUAUUUUAUGUGUUGGUUGGGUGCUUUAUUUUGUUACCUUGACCUCCCUUCUGCAUUGCUGCGAUUAUGUUUGCAGAUGAUAUUUAUCUUCCGAACCUUACGAUAUUGAAUCAUACGUAGCAAUUCUUUUAGUGCCUCUCUCCCUUUGUUGCUCUGUGUGUUUGGUCCCUUUUCUCACCUUUCAACAAGUAAUUCUUGUCCUAUUGUGCAUUAUUUUGAAAGAAGCUCAUUGUUUCAGCUCUUGGCGGAGUACCCCGCAUUAAAACGCUUCAAAUCGUGUUCAGCGCCUCAAAAUAGUCGGAGAUGCUCUGACCAUCAUAGUUGUAGCUGGUAUGUUAAUCCUCCUUCAGAACUUGAACUCAUUGCGCUCAACUGUUGUUCCAAGCCAACUUCUUUUCUCCUAACAAUUAUUGAUUUCGAAUUCUAUUAAAUAUGAGAUGAUCAGAAUGUUUGCAACAGAUAAAAUCUUAAAAGCUUUAUUUCUAAAAGUUCCAUGACAUGGAAUUUCAUGCACAGUUUACGAAUUUGGAUUACUUGCUGUUUGCUUCCGAUUAUUUUACAUUUGCUUUGAGGGGAAAAAUAGAAAACACAACUGCUCUUAAAAUUUAACGAAAUGUUGGAUUGAACUUGAUUGUCAACUUAGUAUUUGCAAUUUUAACGGUUGGAUCUCAGGGCUCUUAUGCAUUGUUUAGUAACCAGAUUGUUCGGGCGUUUCUUGCAAUUCUUGUGUUCUGAUUGUUCAAACACAAUUGUGCAUUAUGGCAAACUUGUUUUUACGUUUAGUUUUUGAUGUUUUUACUGCUAUGAGAUCUACGUAAAAGCAACAAUGCGAGAAGAAGCAUGUAAAACAGGCAAAUGAAUAAUGGUGUAAUAGCCUUUAAAAUGCACAUUGAGUGGCUUUCUCUAUUAGAAUUGCACCAGAUCCCUUCCAGUUCAGCAAUCCAGACUUCAGAUUCAACAUUCCAGAUUCAUUUCACAUGGAUCCUUCCAGCUGUAACAGAUUCUCCAGCUCCCAAGAUUCUCUUCCAACUGUCAUAGUAGUUAGUAGUUGAUAGUUAGUUUAGUUAGACAUUUUCUCUAUAAAUGCACAACCGGCUGUUCAUUGUAAUUCAUUGGAGUAUAGUCUUCCAAUCCCUCCUUUUAUGGAGGUUUCUCUCCUCCUUCAUUGAGUGCAUUUCCUCCUUUCAUGGAGCGCCUUUUCUUCUCCUAUUAUGGAGUUUGUUCUUCUCCGUUAUGGAGUUCAAUUGAAGUUUCUUCAUUCAAUAAAUUCUAACAUUCUCCAUCGGUUAAAAGAAAUUGAAAUGUAUAACAGAAUCAGGUAGUUUCAAUAUUUUAGUAUGACAGACUUGUUUUUUUACCCACUUUGGUGGUAAUGGUGAAGAUAAAGUUGUUUGAGAUGUACAAACGAUUUCUGAAAUGACAAAAAUCGAAUGGCAAUGGAAUGUUAUGAGCUCGUGGUGAUGCUAUGAUUACCAAAAAAGAACUGUGACCAUAAAGUAAUUUUAGCCCUUAUUUGAUGGAGAUUAAAAUCAAAUUUUAGUAAAUUUUGUAAAAUACUAAAAUUUGAUGAAAUGUGUAGUUGAAAAUUUGUAGAUUCUAUGAAAUAUAUGAUUAAACUUAAAUUAUUGAUUUUAAUUUUAAUUUAAAUUUUAGUAUUAAUUCUCAUCAAACGAGGACUAUAAUUUCAUAGUUAAAAAAUUCAAUUAUGAGCUCUCCCUCUCUCUCUCUCUCUCUCUCUCUCUCUCUCUCGCUCUCGCUCGCGAAGGAGGUAUCAAUCCUUAAAUCAUUGACCUCAAAUGUGAUUUGUUUAGCACAUCUAUUCUUAAAUCAUUGACCUCAAAUGCCCCAUCAAAUGAGGCAUGGUUUUUUAUUUUUUUAUUAUUUUUUUCCCUCUCCAAGAAUAAUGUUACCUGUCACUCAUGGUGCUAGAACACCAAUCUAAAUGUCACAUUUUAAGGCUCUGUUUGAGAGUGAUUUUUCACUCCAAAAAAUUAAUUUUUUGACCGUUAUUUCACCAUUUCAAUCAUAAUUUUUGACUUAUUUUCUCACAUGUGGCAUCCACUUUUUUUUUAACAGUCAAAAAAUCAAUUUUUAAAAUCAUUACUGGACGAGCCCUAAAUGUGAUUUAUUUUUUCUACUUUAAAAGGGGUCUAUCAAUUAAUGACACUUGUAUGGUAUUAAAAUUUAUGUGUUAAUGAUGCACUAAUUUGCAAGGACAUUUGCUGCUUUUCUUUGUUUAAUUGUGUUAUUAAAAAUAACUGACUUAUUAUAUACUGUAUGGGAGCAAUUUUGGAUAGAUUUUAACAAUCCCGCUAUUGAGACAAGGUAGAAUACUAGGGACGGCAAUGGUUAGGUUCAGUCAAAAUCAUCAUCGAACCGUCAAAUUUUUUGUCAUACCAUAACCGCACCAUGACCACGUAAAUCGGUUCGGUUCGACUCGAUUUCGAUUCGGUUAAUAACCACAAAAAUAAAUUAUUUUUUAUAAGUCCAUCCGCCAAAUUGAUAUAAAAUAAUUUAUGAAAAGAGAAUUAAUGAAAACAAAAACACAAUAUUCCAAACGAAAAUGCAAACAUUAUCUCAAAUUCCAAUUACAAAAUACAAAUUUAACAAAAAAUAUUAUGAAUAUAACAAUACUAAACUUUUCCUUCAUUCUUAAUUCUUGUGAUUUAUAGUUACUUGAUUAAUGCUCAAUAAUUCAAAAACGUCAACCUUAACUCAUACUCAAUCUUCAUUCUUUCCCACAACUCUGACUAACAUAGGUCAGUACUCAAAAUUGAUUUAUAUAUAGUAAAUAAAAAAUGUAAGUAGAGAAUACAACGAUCUACCUAAUCUAGAAUGGUUUUAACUAAGAUUUAAAUAAAAAAAUAUAUCUCUUCGUCAACUUCCUUCUUACUAAACUUUGUCAUCCCUAAUAAAAGAAUGAUUUUUUUAAGCGGGUAAUCGGUUCGGUUUCGGUUCGACAGCAUAAAUACCAUACCCGCACCGCCACAAACCGGUUCAUUAAAAUCAAAUACCAUAUCCGCCCCAUUGCACAAUCAGUACAGUUUUUUCGCUCCACUCGGUUCGGUUAAUCGCGAUUUUCGAUUUUAACGAUUCAAGUUUCCAUCUCUAUAGAAUACAGGCUCAAAGACAGGGCUAGCGUGGCAUUUGAAAAUAAAAUAUAUAUAAAAACCACAUUUUAAAGUGGAAAAAGCCAAACAUCAACUUUAUUCUAAAAAUUAUGCUGUCAAAUCAACUGUAUGAAAUAUUAAAUUUUCUGAUUUAAUAUAAAAAAAUAAGUUUAUAUCCACUCACAGAUCUAUAGAUAGAAAUCUGGCUAAAUUGACGAGUCUUUCUUACUUUUCAAGCUUACAUGUCACUACCUGAAAUAACGAUAUAAUUAAUCAAAUUAAAACCUGACAAUUAAAUUAAUACAAAUCCAUAACUUAACUUCUCAACUUCUAUAUGUAUUAUUCUUACAUCUCCAAUUUUCCAACUUUUCGUCUCUUUAAUGAUUUAUCAACUAAUCACAAUUCAUUAUCAAAUCCAUUAAAUCCCUCGCACUUCCUUAAAAUCACUACCUUAUUCAUAUGCAACCCUUACAACGAAUUUAGUCCAAUACAUAAACUUCAAUAUUUGUCAUGUAACUUAAUUCGAACCUUUAAAAAUCUGAAAACAAGAGCUUUGACGAAAAAAGAACUAAAAUCUGAUACCAAUUUCUAUAUUAAAAUUUGGUAUCAAAACCUUUGACAGAAAUAGCGUUAUUCUGGGCAGAUUUUCAGAAACAGCACCUGAGUAAGAUUUUGUCGAAAAAUAACUUAUAUUAAUUACUUAAAGAUGGAGAAAUCAACCCCAAAGCCUUAAUUUAAAUGCUCGACAUCAUAUAAUCACAAAAAGAUCACAGAAUUAAUAUCCAUUUCAUAAACCCAUUUACAAAGUUCCACUUUCUUCAACUUCAAAAUUCAAAAAACACGUUUCUUUGCUAUAUUUCUAAUUAUAACACCAAAUACAUAUUAAUAAUACCUAAUUCUAGCUAAGUUUUGAAUUGAAACAAAUUUUUCAUAAACCCUAAGAAAAUUUUAUUCAAUAUACUUGUUCUUACCUCUCUAAAUUAAAUGAGAAAUUGAAGAAAUAGAGCUUGGAAAUCCACUUCCUCUUCUUCUUUCCUCCUCUUCCUUCCUUUCUUCUCUUCUCUUCUCUCGGUCUUUCUCGACGUUUCGCC
This 4365-nucleotide long non-coding RNA is filed under the name Olea europaea (common olive). Its description in RNAcentral is "long non-coding RNA (OEUR_LNC000017)". The record is from RNAcentral. Lineage: Eukaryota; Viridiplantae; Streptophyta; Magnoliopsida; Lamiales; Oleaceae.